GCAUACUUGAUUUAAUCCUAAAUAGAAAAAUAUUUUAGGAUAAUUGAGAAAACUUGAAUAUGGAUACUUUUUAGAGGAUAUUAGGUUAAUGUUAAAUUUCUUAGGUGUAACAAUGAUACUGUGGCUAUACAAAAGAAUGUUCUUAUUGUUAGGAGAUGCAUGCUUAAAUUUUAGAGAUGACAUGACAUGAUGUUUUACUUAUUCUUGGAUGGUUCAAAAACAACCACAACAAAACGUACAUAUACAGAAACAAAGCUUGGGGGGAGAUGGGUUUACCUGCUUUCUUCAACAAAUAAAGAGGAAAAAAAAAAUUGAGGGCAGGUAAACUAAACCUAUAUACUGGAGGUUCUUAACCUGGAUUUCAAAGAUAAAAUUCAGAAGAUCUGUGAUCUGAGUAGGAAAAAAAUUUACAUCUUUAUUUUUAUUAACCUCAAAAUGAGAUUUAGCAUUUCCCUUCUAUAACGAACACGACAAGAACCACAGUAGUAGUAUUAGUAUCUGUGACUACCAAAAGAAGAGCUAUUUUCAUAUUAGGUAACACUUGUCAGAUGUCAAAAUAUUGUUUACAUGUAUCAGUACUUCAAACUUAUGGUAGCUAUUAGACCCACUACUAUCUUGUUUUUUGAAUACAUUAAAUAAUUAUAUAAUAUUUUUUAAAAUAAUAACCAUGCGAAUACAAUUCAUCUCCUUUGUGAUCCAAAGUAUUUUAAUUUAUGCAUUAAAAAUUGUGUUGAAUGUGGCUUUUGUUGUGGAAAAAAGUAAAAAAAAAAUAAAUUUAAAAAUUAAAAAAAAAAUUGUGAAGGAUCCAUAUGCUUCAAACAGCCAAAGCAGUCCACACUGCAAAAAAGGUUAAGAACCCCUGCUAUAUGAUCACAUUUCAGAGACAUCAACUAAAUAUCAAGUACGAACCCUGUCUGGACUCUUAAUUGAACAAACCAACUAUUUAAAAAACUAUAAAAUAAUUGAAAAUAAAUUUUUCUUUUUUUUUGAGACAGGAUCUUGCUCUAUCACCCAGGCUGGAGUGCAGGGGUGUGAUCUUGGCUCACUGCACCCUCUGCCUCCCAGGUUUAAGCCAUUCUCAUGCCUCAGCCUUCUGAGUUGUUGGGAUUACAGGUGUGCGCCACCACACCCAGCUAAUUUUUUGUAUUUUUAGUAGAGAUGGGGUUUCACCAUGUUGGCUAGGCUAGUCUUGAAUUCCCUCCUCAAGUUAUCCACCUGCCUCAGCCUCCCAAAGUGCUGGGGUUAUAUAUAGAUGUGAGCCACCAUGCCCGGCCAAAGGCAAAGGAUGAAUUUUUCGAAUACUCUCAAAACCAGAAUGUCUCCAAAAUACUGUAAGAUAUAUUAAUCAGACAUGCAUACAGCUCAACUGACAUAUUAUACAGAUU
RNAcentral lists this long non-coding RNA (1385 nucleotides) under Homo sapiens (human). Its description in RNAcentral is "HSALNT0168113". The record is from RNAcentral. Lineage: Eukaryota; Metazoa; Chordata; Mammalia; Primates; Hominidae.